UACGUAGGGUGCAGGCGUUAAUCGGAAUUACUGGGCGUAAAGCGUGCGCAGGCGGUUUCUUAAGUCAGAUGUGAAAGCCCCGGGCUUAACCUGGGAACUGCGUUUGAAACUGGGAGACUUGAGUGUGGCAGAGGGGGGUGGAAUUCCACGUGUAGCAGUGAAAUGCGUAGAUAUGUGGAGGAACACCGAUGGCGAAGGCAGCCCCCUGGGUUAACACUGAUGCUCAUGCACGAAAGCGUGGGGAGCAAACAGG
Molecule: ribosomal RNA, 253 nt
Filed under: uncultured bacterium
Lineage: Bacteria
Description: partial 16S ribosomal RNA
Rfam family: Bacterial small subunit ribosomal RNA
Source: RNAcentral